RNAcentral lists this ribosomal RNA (480 nucleotides) under uncultured bacterium. Its description in RNAcentral is "bacterial SSU rRNA". It matches the Rfam family "Bacterial small subunit ribosomal RNA", at positions 8 to 485 of the family's 1533-position model. The record is from RNAcentral.
AGAGUUUGAUCCUGGCUCAGAUUGAACGCUGGCGGCAUGCCUUACACAUGCAAGUCGAACGGUAGCGGGCCUUCGGGUGCCGACGAGUGGCGAACGGGUGAGUAAUGUAUCGGAACGUACCUUUCAGUGGGGGAUAACGUAGCGAAAGUCACGCUAAUACCGCAUAUUCUGUGAGCAGGAAAGCAGGGGAUCUUCGGACCUUGCGCUGAUUGAGCGGCCGAUAUCAGAUUAGCUAGUUGGUGAGGUAAAGGCUCACCAAGGCGACGAUCUGUAGCGGGUCUGAGAGGAUGAUCCGCCACACUGGAACUGAGACACGGUCCAGACUCCUACGGGAGGCAGCAGUGGGGAAUUUUGGACAAUGGGGGCAACCCUGAUCCAGCCAUGCCGCGUGAGUGAAGAAGGCCUUCGGGUUGUAAAGCUCUUUCGGCCGGGAAGAAAUCGCAUGGGUUAAUACCCUGUGCGGAUGACGGUACCGGCAUA